AGUGAACGCUGGCGGUAGGCCUAACACAUGCAAGUCGAACGGCAGCACAGGAGAGCCUGCUCUCUGGGUGGCGAGUGGCGGACGGGUGAGGAAUACAUCGGAAUCUACCUUUUCGUGGGGGAUAACGUAGGGAAACUUACGCUAAUACCGCAUACGACCUUCGGGUGAAAGCAGGGGACCUUCGGGCCUUGCGCGGAUAGAUGAGCCGAUGUCGGAUUAGCUAGUUGGCGGGGUAAAGGCCCACCAAGGCGACGAUCCGUAGCUGGUCUGGGAGGAUGAUCAGCCACACUGGAACUGAGACACGGUCCAGACUCCUACGGGAGGCAGCAGUGGGGAAUAUUGGACAAUGGGCGCAAGCCUGAUCCAGCCAUACCGCGUGGGUGAAGAAGGCCUUCGGGUUGUAAAGCCCUUUUGUUGGGAAAGAAAAGCAACCAGUUAAUACCUGGUUGUUCUGACGGUACCCAAAGAAUAAGCACCGGCUAACUUCGUGCCAGCCGCCGCCGUAA
RNAcentral lists this ribosomal RNA (506 nucleotides) under uncultured bacterium. RNAcentral's name for it is "partial 16S ribosomal RNA". It matches the Rfam family "Bacterial small subunit ribosomal RNA", at positions 29 to 523 of the family's 1533-position model. The record is from RNAcentral.